This 253-nucleotide ribosomal RNA is filed under the name uncultured bacterium. RNAcentral describes it as "partial 16S ribosomal RNA". It matches the Rfam family "Bacterial small subunit ribosomal RNA", at positions 524 to 776 of the family's 1533-position model. RNAcentral also lists the same sequence under 1 other name. The record is from RNAcentral.
UACGGGGGGGGCAAGCGUUGUUCGGAAUUACUGGGCGUAAAGGGUUCGUAGGUGGCCAACUCAGUCAGACGUGAAAUCCCUCAGCUCAACUGGGGAACUGCGUCUGAUACUAGAUGGCUCGAGUGCAGGAGAGGAACGCGGAAUUCCAGGUGUAGCGGUGAAAUGCGUAGAUAUCUGGAGGAACACCGGUGGCGAAGGCGGCGUUCUGGACUGCAACUGACACUGAGGAACGAAAGCCAGGGGAGCAAACGGG